AUGAACGCUGGCGGCGUGCCUAAUACAUGCAAGUCGAGCGAACAGACGAGGAGCUUGCUCCUCUGACGUUAGCGGCGGCCGGGUGAGUAACACGUGGAUAACCUACCUAUAAGACUGGGAUAACUUCGGGAAACCGGAGCUAAUACCGGAUAAUAUAUUGAACCGCAUGGUUCAAUAGUGAAAGACGGUUUUGCUGUCACUUAUAGAUGGAUCCGCGCCGCAUUAGCUAGUUGGUAAGGUAACGGCUUACCAAGGCAACGAUGCGUAGCCGACCUGAGAGGGUGAUCGGCCACACUGGAACUGAGACACGGUCCAGACUCCUACGGGAGGCAGCAGUAGGGAAUCUUCCGCAAUGGGCGAAAGCUUGGCGGAGCAACGCCGCGUGAGUGAUGAAGGUCUUCGGAUCGUAAAACUCUGUUAUUAGGGAAGAACAAAUGUGUAAGUAACUAUGCACGUCUUGACGGUACCUAAUCAGAAAGCCACGGCUAACUACGUG
RNAcentral lists this ribosomal RNA (496 nucleotides) under uncultured bacterium. Its description in RNAcentral is "partial 16S ribosomal RNA". It matches the Rfam family "Bacterial small subunit ribosomal RNA", at positions 29 to 507 of the family's 1533-position model. The record is from RNAcentral.